Molecule: long non-coding RNA, 1085 nt
Filed under: Homo sapiens (human)
Lineage: Eukaryota; Metazoa; Chordata; Mammalia; Primates; Hominidae
Description: HSALNT0139287
Source: RNAcentral
CAGGGCCGGCCGGCAGCCGCUGCUCUUUCACAGCCCCAGACCCUGCGCGGCCUGCCGGCGGCUGGCGACCUCCCUUCCCCUCCCGAGGCGCCCGAGCCUCUGAUCCCCUCCCGGGGCGCCUGUGGCCUCCCUUCCCCUCCCGGGGCGCCCGAGCCUCUGAUCCCCUCCCGGGGCGCCUGUGGCCUCCCUUCCCCUCCUGGGGCGCCUGUGACCUCCCGUCCCCUCCCGCGGCUCCCGCGGCCUCCGACCUCCUGCCGGGGCGCCUCAAGGGCCCCUGCCCCACAUCAGAGGGUCUUGCGGUUUCCUGGUUUGGUUCAACAUCUCUGAAACCCAGAGGUGAAGAAGAAACCAUGGAGGAGAAUCCGAAACAGUCUUCCAGAUCAGACCUCUAAAAUAACUAAAUUCUUGUUAAUCAUUAGAUUCUCCCUUUUAUUUAAUGUGUAAGUCCAAGGGGAUUCCUUCUGCUUCCCCAUUCAAUUAGACAGCAACCUCUUCCUCUAAAGUUCUCUCAUCUGAAGCCAUCUGAGCAGGAGCACUUUGACCAACUCAAUUCUGCUCUGAUCUGGACUACUUCUCCCAGUUUAGGGAUCAGUAAAUUGCCAAACACUUCCCAAUUUAUCCCUGAAGGAAUCCCUGAAAAAUGAUGGCCUUUAUUCUCCCUCAGAGAGGGAGCUUGAGCUCUUGAGAAAGACAUGAAGGCCCUUGCCGCUGUCGGCAUCACUCCUUCCUCCCUAAUCCGGUCAGUUAAUUGCUGAGUGCUCGCUUCCUGAUCUGCGUGAUGGCCUCGGAACCGGGCUGCGUGUAGACCUGGGUGACUAUCAGCUCAGCUCCCAAGUGGAGGGCCUCGGAAGACGCUCUGUGCGGCCUACUAACAAGCACGAGAGUUCUUACAAGAAGAGGAAAUUUGGUCUCACAAAAGACACCAGAGGUACACGCAGAGAAAAGGCCAUGAGAAGACACAGCGGGAAGAUAGCCAUCUGCAAGCCAAGGAGAGAGGCCUCCAGAGACACCAAAACCUGCCGACACCUUCAUCUUGGACUUCAUGCCCCCAAAACUGUGAGAAAAUAAAUUUCUGUUGUUUAAGC